Molecule: long non-coding RNA, 366 nt
Organism: Erigeron canadensis
Lineage: Eukaryota; Viridiplantae; Streptophyta; Magnoliopsida; Asterales; Asteraceae
Exons: 4
Source: RefSeq, a predicted model, not a curated record
UGAUCCACCAAACACCCCAUUCCUUUUCUUUUUCUUUUGCCUGCGCAGUACACACACACGACACCCUCCCCAUUCUAAAUCAACAUUUGACAAAUUGAAAUCAUAUGGGAAUUUAAAGGAAGUAGUCAGCUAGCAUUAAAAAAAUCAAGGAUUCAUCAUUUUCAUCUUACUCUUCUUCAUUCUUAUCUCAAGAAUAUCAGAUUGGUUUUGAAUAGACGUGGAGACUAGAUUUGCUCAUUCUCAAGUUUGCUCGCCCUUUUGCUCUUUGAUCGCUAAGAUAAUGAAUGAAGAGGAAAGAGAUGAAGGAUUUGUACAGAACAUUCAGAGGCAAGUAAGUGCAUUGUCUUGGCUUGAAAUAUGAUGGAG